Molecule: ribosomal RNA, 484 nt
Filed under: uncultured bacterium
Lineage: Bacteria
Description: partial 16S ribosomal RNA
Rfam family: Bacterial small subunit ribosomal RNA
Source: RNAcentral
AUUGAACGCUGGCGGCAGGCCUAACACAUGCAAGUCGAGCGGAUGAAGGGAGCUUGCUCCUGGAUUCAGCGGCGGACGGGUGAGUAAUGCCUAGGAAUCUGCCUGGUAGUGGGGGAUAGCGUCCGGAAACGGGCGCUAAUACCGCAUACGUCCUGAGGGAGAAAGUGGGGGAUCUUCGGACCUCACGCUAUCAGAUGAGCCUAGGUCGGAUUAGCUAGUUGGUGGGGUAAAGGCCUACCAAGGCGACGAUCCGUAACUGGUCUGAGAGGAUGAUCAGUCACGCUGGAACUGAGACACGGUCCAGACUCCUACGGGAGGCAGCAGUGGGGAAUAUUGGACAAUGGGCGAAAGCCUGAUCCAGCCAUGCCGCGUGUGUGAAGAAGGUCUUCGGAUUGUAAAGCACUUUAAGUUGGGAGGAAGGGCAGUAAGUUAAUACCUUGCUGUUUUGACGUUACCAACAGAAUAAGCACCGGCUAACUUCGUG